AAAGAUUAAGCCAUGCAUGUCUAAGUAUAAACAACUUUGUACUGUGAAACUGCGAAUGGCUCAUUAAAUCAGUUAUAGUUUAUUUGAUUAUACCUUACUACUUGGAUAACCGUGGUAAUUCUAGAGCUAAUACAUGCUAAAAAUCCCGACUUCUGGAAGGGAUGUAUUUAUUAGAUAAAAAACCAAUGCGGGCAACCGCUUUUCUGGUGAUUCAUAAUAACUUUUCGAAUCGCAUGGCCUUGUGCUAGCGAUGUUUCAUUCAAAUUUCUGCCCUAUCAACUUUCGACGGCUGGGUCUUGGCCAGCCGUGGUGA
This 313-nucleotide ribosomal RNA is filed under the name uncultured fungus. RNAcentral's name for it is "SSU rRNA". It matches the Rfam family "Eukaryotic small subunit ribosomal RNA", at positions 39 to 352 of the family's 1831-position model. The record is from RNAcentral. Lineage: Eukaryota; Fungi.